This 301-nucleotide ribosomal RNA is filed under the name uncultured bacterium. Its description in RNAcentral is "partial 16S ribosomal RNA". It matches the Rfam family "Bacterial small subunit ribosomal RNA", at positions 509 to 807 of the family's 1533-position model. The record is from RNAcentral.
CAGCAGCCGCGGGAAUACGUAGGGUGCAAGCGUUAAUCGGAAUUACUGGGCGUAAAGCGUGCGCAGGCGGUUUGUUAAGACAGAUGUGAAAUCCCCGGGCUCAACCUGGGAACUGCAUUUGUGACUGGCAAGCUAGAGUAUGGCAGAGGGGGGUGGAAUUCCGCGUGUAGCAGUGAAAUGCGUAGAUAUGCGGAGGAACACCGAUGGCGAAGGCAGCCCCCUGGGCCAAUACUGACGCUCAUGCACGAAAGCGUGGGGAGCAAAUGGGAUUAGAGACCCCUGUAGUCCCUGUCUCUUAUAC